AAAAAAUGAGUCAACAGUCUCAAAAACUGAAGAGUGCUAGAACUGCUCUCAAAAGUGAAAUAUGAGUUCAAACAGAAGCAGUCUUCUUAGGUGACUAUGGCUGGCCUGCCUCUUGGCAAUCCCAUUCUUCCUGUGCCAGAGAGUGCCCAGGGCCUGCUUACAGAGGACUAACACUCUCAGUCUCCAGGAGGCUGGCUACUUUCCUCAGCCAAACUCUCCCUCCUAGCAAUUCACUAGCAAGGGAAUGGGGUCAUUAAUCAUGGUGGAGUAGUUUCCCCAGGUGGAAUGCUCUUUUCUAAAUAGGGCCUUGAUUUGUGUAACAGUUAUGGAUUUUAGCUGAGAAAAUAAGUAGACAUCAAGCUAUUGUCCUGCUUAGAAAAUGGGACAGAACUUUCAUUCAGAUAAAGUUAAACAGUUGUUUGGUUG
This 426-nucleotide long non-coding RNA is filed under the name Rattus norvegicus (Norway rat). Its description in RNAcentral is "long non-coding RNA NONRATT012717". Lineage: Eukaryota; Metazoa; Chordata; Mammalia; Rodentia; Muridae. The record is from RNAcentral.